This 599-nucleotide long non-coding RNA is filed under the name Homo sapiens (human). RNAcentral describes it as "HSALNT0388369". The record is from RNAcentral. Lineage: Eukaryota; Metazoa; Chordata; Mammalia; Primates; Hominidae.
UGCAAUGGUGCGAUCUCGGCUCACCGCAACCUCCGCCUCCCAGGUUCAAGGGAUCUUCCUACCUCAGGCUCCUGAGUAGCCAGGAUUACAGGUGCAUGCCACCGUGCCCGGCUAAUACUUUGCAUUUUUGUAAAGACGGGGUUUCACCAUGUUGGCCAGGCGGGUCUCGAACCCCUGACCUCAAGUGAUCGGCCGCCUAAGCCUCCAAAGUGCUGGGAUUACAGGCAUGAGCCACCGUGCCCAGCCUUCCUUCAUCUACUUAUUUUCCUGUGAUGCCUCCAUGUUUUAGAGUAUGUGUCUGAGGGGCAGGAAUAUGUAUUAGAUAUAUCUAGGGCAGUCCCACCAGCUUUACAUUCUUGAGACCUCAUCCAUCAGUUCUUGUUUUGCAGACAUAUACUUCUAUUGACUACAAUGAGAAGUGUGUCUCUUAAAAAGGUAAGUCUGGCCGCGCGUGGUGGCUCACGCCUGUAAUCCCAGCACUUUGGGAGGCAGAGGCAGGUGGAUCACGAGGUCAGGAGAUCGAGACCAUCCUGGCUAACACGAGGAAACCCCGUCUCUACCAAAAAUACAAAAAAUUAGCUGGGCAUGGUGGCGAGCGC